This 408-nucleotide long non-coding RNA is filed under the name Helianthus annuus (common sunflower). Lineage: Eukaryota; Viridiplantae; Streptophyta; Magnoliopsida; Asterales; Asteraceae. The record is from RNAcentral.
AUGAUUCUUGUACAAGGUACAAGUCUAUUAAGCAUAUUCCUACUAGUUCAUCAUCACACAACAAUCACAUCCCUUUGAAUUUACAUAGAUUUUUCAUCCUAAAUCAGUUUGUCUAGCAUUCAAGUAUUACAAACAAAAUCAUAUAUCAAACUAUCACAUAAUCAUAAUCAUCAUAAGCUUCCUAUUCAUAACACAAUCUUUACAAAGUGGGUUUUUACUACACCUUUCAUACAAUCUAAAUUCAAGCAUGAUUCUUGUUCUAAAACGCAAUUCUACUCAGAUUUAUCAUAUUUGACACAAGAAAUCGAGAUUGGGUUUAACCCCUCAUUCUACAAAUCAUAAUUUCAGAAAAUUAAACUCACCACUUCACUAGUUAGGGUUAGAUUUUCGAAAAAGAGGACCCAUGCA